This 253-nucleotide ribosomal RNA is filed under the name uncultured bacterium. Its description in RNAcentral is "partial 16S ribosomal RNA". It matches the Rfam family "Bacterial small subunit ribosomal RNA", at positions 524 to 776 of the family's 1533-position model. The record is from RNAcentral.
UACGGAGGGGGCUAGCGUUGCUCGGAAUCACUGGGCGUAAAGCGCACGUAGGCGGCUUUUUAAGUCAGGGGUGAAAUCCUGGAGCUCAACUCCAGAACUGCCUUUGAUACUGAGAAGCUUGAGUCUGGGAGAGGUGAGUGGAACUGCGAGUGUAGAGGUGAAAUUCGUAGAUAUUCGCAAGAACACCAGUGGCGAAGGCGGCUCACUGGCCCGGUACUGACGCUGAGGUGCGAAAGCGUGGGGAGCAAACAGG